RNAcentral lists this ribosomal RNA (468 nucleotides) under uncultured bacterium. RNAcentral describes it as "partial 16S ribosomal RNA". It matches the Rfam family "Bacterial small subunit ribosomal RNA", at positions 28 to 507 of the family's 1533-position model. The record is from RNAcentral.
GACGAACGCUGGCGGCGUGCUUAACACAUGCAAGUCGAACGGAAAGGCCCUGCUUUUGUGGGGUGCUCGAGUGGCGAACGGGUGAGUAACACGUGAGUAACCUGCCCUUGACUUUGGGAUAACUUCAGGAAACUGGGGCUAAUACCGGAUAGGAGCUCCUGCUGCAUGGUGGGGGUUGGAAAGUUUCGGCGGGUGGGGGUGGACUCGCGGCUUAUCAGCUUGUUGGUGGGGUAGUGGCUUACCAAGGCUUUGACGGGUAGCCGGCCUGAGAGGGUGAACGGCCACAAUGGGACUAAGGUACGGCCCAGACUCGUACGGGAGACAGCAGUGGGGAGUCUUGCCCAAUGGGAGGGAGUCUGAUAAGGAGACGCCGCGUGCGGAAUGCCGGCUUUCGGGUUGAAAAACGCUUCAGCCUGUGACGAAGCGUGAGUGACGGUAAUGGGUGAAGAAGCACCGGCUAACUACGUG